Molecule: ribosomal RNA, 301 nt
Filed under: uncultured bacterium
Lineage: Bacteria
Description: partial 16S ribosomal RNA
Rfam family: Bacterial small subunit ribosomal RNA
Source: RNAcentral
CAGCAGCCGCGGGAAUACGAAGGGGGCUAGCGUUGUUCGGAUUUACUGGGCGUAAAGCGCACGUAGGCGGACUUUUAAGUCAGGGGCGAAAUCCCGGGGCUCAACCCCGGAACUGCCUUUGAUACUGGGAGUCUUGAGUUCGAGAGAGGUGAGUGGAAUUGCGAGUGUAGAGGUGAAAUUCGUAGAUAUUCGCAGGAACACCAGUGGCGAAGGCGGCUCACUGGCUCGAUACUGACGCUGAGGUGCGAAAGCGUGGGGAGCGAACAGGAUUAGAUACCCCAGUAGUCCCUGUCUCUUAUAC